UAAAAUUAUGUAUCAGAAUUCAGAAGGUUGAUUUCUGACCUUAAAUACUGCACAGGAAUAUGUCAUUGUUUCAUCCAAGAACAUAGAAAACAUCUCAUUACUCUAUAGACACAAAACAAGAAAAGGAACAUAAGCUUUUCAUCAGAACUUCUGAAACUAAAAUGGAGUACCGCUUUCAUGAAAACAUGCACAUAUGCACUUGCUUUAUAAAAUUGUUGUUUCAUUGUACAUACAUUUUCAUCUGACUUAGUGACUCAUCAACCUCCAUUCAUAAUUCCUUUCCAGACAUUCAAACAUCAAAACAGAUGGAUGGAGGAGAAAGUUAUAAUUAAUACGAUCGUACCAGGUCAUAAUGACGAGAGAUAUUCCUGCGGGCCUGAGUAAGAGAAUUUUUCCUUGAAACAUGCCGAAAGAAAAAUUUUGCAGAUGCAAUACUAGCUGUGACAAACAUUGGUGUCCACCAACCCCUACACCAACAGAUAGAGAAAACUCUAUUACAAAUCACUAAUUCGGGAAACAUUGGCUAGUACUAUUAUAUUCCCAGAGUCAGUUAUGGGGGCAUACUUUUUCUUAUUGCGUUCUGAUACAGAUAUAUUAGCAUCUCUAUUGGCAAUGAGAACCUGCAGUUUAAAUUAUAUGUGGAAGACAGUUCACUGAAAGUUCAAACAAAAAGAUACACUUCAACGCAGGACCAUGAUCAAUUGGCUCACCAUGAAAAGUUUUAGAAGACCUUCAUCUUUGUCAGGAAAUGAAAUAUCACCACUGAUAUAUGCAUCUGCUAGGCCUAAAUCAGCCUGUGUCAUUAUCUGUGACAUUUUUAUUGCUUGUCAGUGAUGGUAAUUUUUUGCACAUGCUACAUUUGAUUUACAACCAGAUGCUUCGAGUUUAAAGUUUUGCAUAUUAACGAUAAAUGACACCAUGUUUCAUCAAGGUCAUGUGAAUCCUAUAAAAUGAGAUAAGAAAAGCACAUACCUUCCAAUAAAACUGGAGAUUGUGAACUUUCAGAAUAGAUUUAGGGAAAUACUUUUUAACGGUGCCCUGAAAGGUAAAAAUUGUGCCUCCUUCCUCCAAUAAACUGUCAUACCACAAUUUACAUCUAUCAAUUUCUCCACAUAAUAUUAAAUUUAGGUCAACAGCAUAGCAUGGGAAAAUAUCAGGUAAGCAGACUGUAUGAAUGAAGUUAAAUAGUAUGGUGAAGUGGGAUUGAGUUUUAUUACCGCUAGAAAAGGUGCAACUCAAAAUCUAGUAGUAAUUGCAGCAUGGGAAAGAAAUUUAUAGAGGCAUAGAAAAAAUAAGUUAUUUUCUGCAACAUUUACUUUAAAAGCCCAAGAAAACAGAUUCUUAAUAACAUGUGUAAUGCAAAUUCAGCGAUGUAAAAGAUGUAUGACGGCUAAGGCUUAUAUUAGAUGUACGAACUUAGAAGAAGACAGAAAUAGAAGUAACUGUGAAUAAUGUAUAAAAGUACAUUAUCUUGGGAAGCUCGCUAAGUUGCAGCAACAUGGAAAAUAAUGUAGAUCAAAGUUGAAGGGAUUCGUAGUACAAUAGAAAUGAAAUAAAGAAAUUCUCAAGACAGUGAGAGACAACAUGGCAGUUUUGUAAUUCAACAGAUAGCAUAAUUCAACAAUAGAAUGCAAAAACCAGCCAAGUGAUAUGAGAAAGGAUAUGAUUAUCUUCAUAGGUGAACUCACAUUAAACAGCCAGUAGAGAUAUAUUUUCCGAGAAAUCUAGUGACAAAGAGGCGCGCCCCAGUUUCUAACAGAGAAGGUACCAUAUGUUUUGGAUUGCUCAGAAUAGUACAAUGUCUUUCAAGCAAACUAUGGGCAGCAACCAUGCCAGACUGCAAGGAAACAACCACCUCAAUUCUUAGUUGUAGAACGCCCAUGAAUUACUAAAAUGAAAAGGAGAAGCAGAAAAGGCAGUAUAAGUUUUAUUGUCAGUUCCCCAGUUCCAAAAAUAAGAGAAAUAAAUAAAAAUUUCCAAUACAUUUUCCAGAGAACCUGUUUUCUCAAGGAUAUAGUUUUCAGGUGGAGCAAAUACAUAUUUGGUUCCAUUGCAACCCAGAAGUAAAGUCAUUUAUAUACCUUAAGAAACUAAUUCAAGUUAUGAUUAAGAAAAAUGAGGAGCACUUAUUAGUACCUUCAGUCCAUCCUCAUAGAAGCCAUAACCUGAAAAAAGAAAAUGUAACGUAGAGGACGCAAUUGAUGAAUUGUAAUGAAGCUAAUUCGGAAAUCCAAAAUGUAAAUAUUCCUGAAAAUCUAAGGUAAAUUCUCAUGGACAUUUAACACGAAUUAAAUCCAGUAACUUACCCUGGUAUGCUCCGCAAAACCAAAGUCCUCUCCUUCCUUGAAUAUGUACAAAUUCAAGUGAAGCUUUUGAUGCAGCUAAGGAUAGGACUGGAUGGCUUGCCGUCCACUUCAGUAAGGUAUGUUCUGGUGUAUGAUCUGGAUUGAGUGUCACCAGAAAAGGCGGAUUUGUUUCACCAAGAUUCUACAAGAGUUGACAGCAUUAAAAAAGUCUAUGGGUAUAUUUCACUUUCGAUUCUGAAUUGAGUUCUGGAACCAGCAAUACACUUCAUCUCCUCUAAGAAAACAUGUUACAAACCUGAAUCACAUUAAGCCAGUAUGUAAGGCAUAAUUUAUUGUUUGUACUUCCUAAAAAAUUCCAUGCACUCCAUGCCGCUGGAAUUCGGGGCAUAAAUUUUUUAUCGCAGUGAAGAAAGAUUUCACUGAAAUCAAGAGUUGAAGAAUGUAAUGCAUACAUAUAUUAUACAUCCAAAAGCAAAUGAUUGAGAAAGAAGCAGAAGAGUAAAAGCUUGUACUUAUGCAUAUACUGGAAAGCACCAAGUAGUCUUUUUUCAUCAAAUGUUGCUUGGUUUCCUAAUAGUUUCAAAGCAUCUGGGGAAUGAACAGCAAUUAUGCACCUACUGAACUGUUCUUCAGAACCAUCUCCGCAUAACACUGUGCAACCUGUUAAGAAUUCUCAAGUUAUAUAUAUAGGAAACAGCAUUAUUGCUUGAAUAUAUAAUAUUUCUCAUUGCCAAGAUUUCUUUACCCUUUUCCUAAGAUAUGCGCAUUUUUUGUAUUUAUAGAAUAUACAUCAUAGUUACAUUUGUAUAAUGAUUUUGAGAUUUAUUAUAAAACUUUGGAUGUAUUUAAUAUUGUGAAAUUCUUCUUUUUCUCUUUUUGAAACUUUAAUAUUGAGAAAUUCAUUUGCUUUGCUCCAGUAAAAUUUGGAUAUUUGUUAUAUUUAGUUGGCCAAUUUGCAAUGAAAAUUAUAAAAAGUAUUUUAUUUAUUUCAGAAUGACUUGAUAUUAUUAUAAUAUGGACUAUAUUCAAAGUUAAUUAGCAUUUAAAAAAACUAAAUAUAUUAAAUCAUAAUCCUUAAUUAUAAUAAAGCAUAUAGUUAUUAUAAUAAACGUUAGAAAAAAAUAUAAAAUAAAUAAAGUAAAAGCUUGAUAAAUUUAAUUAUUUUUAAUAUUAUAGUUUUUAUAAUUCUGUAAUUAAAUUAUUUACUAUUUAAACUGGGAAGGAAUUAAUUAAAAUCGUAAUAAAUUUAAAUAUUAUAUAUAUAUAUAUAUAUAUAUGAGCGUGCCGGGUUGAACUCUUGGUGGUAAAAUAUUUCUUUAAGAGUUUUUGACGGUGUGGAGUUCAAAACUAAAUCUCUAAAUCAAUUGUGAAGUAAUGAUUAGAGGCAAAUUGGGAAUAAUUUAAGCCUUUGCCAGAUGUAAUUACAGAUACAUCAAAUUCAGGCAACGCACUUCUAUUUUUUGUUAGACUGUAAGGAAAUGUAAUUCUGGAAUUGUAUAUAAUAGAUUAUUAUGAUAAUACUGAUGCUAAAAUCAGUCGGUGAUUUUUGCAUUAUUUAUUUUUAAAGAAAACUUUAUCCGUAUAUUUAAUCCAGGGAUUUGGGUAUGACACUUUUUUUAGCAUCGACCAGAUUUUUAUUUUCCAAUGACAUUAAGUUUUGAUAAUACAUAUAAUGUCCACAAAAAAAAAAAAAAAAAAAACAGAAUUGCUUAAUGUAUUCAGCAAUUUAAGUUCAGAAAAUUAAAACUUAAUACUAGUGCUUACUUUUAUCAUCCGUGGAAACAGAGUGUAUCUCACAUCCAGUUCUUAUUGUACAGCCAUAAUUUUCCAGUUUUUCUCUGACCUGAUUUAUUUGCUUCUAUAAUUUAGUAGAAUUUUUCUGAAAAGAUUAUUCAGAAACACAGAAACAAAGGAGAUCUGCAACAUUCUGAACGAUUCGGCAAAUACCUUGUUUACAUAAGAAUGUGAUCUAUGUUUCACAGUAAGCCAUUGUGGGUGGCCAAAGAGCUGCGAAAGAAUCGAGCUAUAUUUCAUCAAAGUUUUGAUAGACCAAAUUCUUAAUAACUUUACAUCACUAACGAUAUAAAUAUAUAUUUAUUUUACUUCUUUCAGAAAGAACUUUUACCUCAAAUAAAUGAUGAUUACGGCAAUAUGAGAGACUAGAGUAGGCAGAAAAACUCAUAAUCUUUUCUGAAGGACAGGACCAUAUUAAACCACAUAUUGGAACCUAUACUGAAAAUUUGGUUAACAGGAUUCAAACAAAAACGAAUUAUACAUUUGAUAAAUUGUAAGAAAUUUCUCACCAGAUAAGCCUUCUGAAAUAACUCAGAAUAACCCCGUGACCUAAUAAAGUUCUCCAAUGUUUCAUUUCUGUCAAUGUCGGGAUUGUUCUCAAGCACCUCGAGAUAACUGAGACAAAGAAUUACUUGUCAGGAUUGUUUUUAACCUUGUGAUCACAUAGAAGCAAACCUUAGACAUUCCACUGCAUGCAUACUCAUUAAAAACUUAUAAUGAUAGUAAACUGGCUGACCUGAGGACAUCAUCCUUAAACUUGAUGAUUUCACGAAUCAUUUGCCAAAAGUAUGGAUUGAUCGCAUUCGUUUUCUGUGCAAACAAACCUGAAAGGCCAUUUCUGCUACCCCAUUCAUAACCUUUACCAUGGUCUAAGCUAACUGAGAAUGACAUAUCAGAUAACUCCAGAUCUACCCCAAGACUUUCAAAGAACUCUGUCAUAUUUGGAUAUGUUACCUGUUUAUUGAUUCAUGUCCAUAAUCAGUAUCUUGUAACUAUCAUACUGCAUUUGAGUAUAUGAACAGCACAUGAAUUACAGACUUUUUUGAGAUAAUGCCUUGGACCCUUUGGGCAAGUUAAUCUCACUGUUACUUUAAAUAAAAGAAACUUAAUUUAAGGAUGUUUUAUACUUUAGUUAUCAGAUAAAGUACGUAUGUGAAAUUUAGGAAGCUAGGUUAUUAAACCUGUGUACUUAUUUGUUAAAGGCAGCAAUGACCUUUAGAAGAGCAAGACUAUCAGUAUAUUCACAAACCCCUUUUCUUUUUAUUUUUGGUUAAAUUUAUUUUUCUUGAGCCCACUGGACUGUAAAAAUGGAGAAAAUAGGAGUAAAAGAGAACUAGAAAGGAAAAAUAGCAAAUGAAACGGAAGAAGGAAAAUGGUGACUUACACGAUUAAAGACCAUGAAACCCAAGUCUAACUCAACACCAUCAAAGCAGACAGUUUUAGCAUGGCCGCCAAUGUAUUCCUCUUUCUCGUACAACACAACCUUAACUCCAUUUCUUGCAAGAACAUAAGUUGACACAAGUCCGCUUAUUCCACCUCCAAUCACUGCAACUUUCAUUGUUUAAACUGAAAAAUAACUCCGGGCCGUUACUCCCCAAAAGAAAAUGCAAAUGAAUUAUUUGGAAUUUAGAAGAAAAUAAAAAGCACAGAAAUAAUUAACAUUCAUAUAACAUUUGGAACAUGCUAGAAAUCAUAAUAUCUUUUGUGUAAUAUAACACAAGUCUUCUUUGUUAAGGCUAUAUAUACUUGAAUUUUUUUGGCAAAUGUCACUAUUUUUAAUAUAUAAAUUUUUUUUAAUAUUUAUAUUUAUUUUUUUUACACAUAAAAUUUAAUUAAUAUAUAAUUUUAUAAUUUUUUUCAUUAAUGAAUCAGUAUUACUGUUAUUGGUUCAUUAUUUUUUUCAGUUUAUUUAUCUUUGCUUUUUUUUCUUCUGUAUCCAAUAGCUUGGCAUUUUACGUGGAAAUGAGGAUAAAAACGGAUAGGAGCGUCUUUUAGUUAGUAGGCCUAGUAUCUUUGGACCAACCUAAUAUCUAAAUUAAUAUUAGUAUUUUAAAUAUUUUUAUGUCGGUUUUUUAUUUUUAUUCCACGUAAUAUUAUUUAUUUAUCUUUACUAGUAUAGUCCUCAAAAAUAUAAUUUUGUUUGUUAAUUUUUCAUAUUAAAUAACUGAAUUUAUUUUCAAGUUUUCUAAUGUUUUACAUAUUUAAAAAUGGGUCCAUGUACUUUAUUGAACUAUGGCUGUGCUUGCUGACUUUUGAGCUAAUAUAUUAAAUGCUAUUUGGCGCAAUCUCGCCGACACGUCACACUCCCAUAAAUUAUUAGAUAGAUUUGGCGUAACAAAUCUUUUAUAAAUUAAGCUAAUUAUUAUGAGAUGUGGUAUCUUUUAUUAAAUAUUAUAUUUAUAUAGAUUGAUUUUUAAUUAUAAAUAGUAAUAAAAAAAUUAAUUAAUAUAAAUAUAAUAUUGAAUAAAAAAUACUAUAUAUCAUCAUAUAAUUAGUUUAAUCUAUAGAUGACAUGGCUGUCACGACCGGAUUUGUAGCCGGUGUCGGACACUAGAGAAUAGGUUGGUUUAAAGCCACCAAGAUCCGUAGUGAGUAUGACUAAUCGACAAUUCAAAUAUGCAUGUAUAAAUAUACUAUAAAAUCAACCCAACAUGCCAUUCACAAGUCUCUAACUAGACAUUAAUAAUAUUUCACAAUUUGUUAAAGACUAUAUUAAACAUAAUAUACCAGAUAUACUACUGCGAAGAGUCUAGAAUUUUAAACAAUUUAAAAUACAAAAAUAUAAAUUAAUUACAAUAGGCCCAAUGGAGAAGGAAGUCGGUCUGUCAAAAGCAAGACGGCGGAGAACCUAACUGUCACCUGAAAAAUUAAAAUUGAAACUGUCAGCCUCAAGAGCGAGUUAAAAUAAUCCUAUAACAAUUGUAGUCUCCUCAAUAAGAUAUUUAUUAUAUCAAAAUAACAUAUCAUAUUAUACUAAAACACAUGUCAUAUGCCAUAAUUCAGAAAAAAAUACAAUUCAAAUACUUAUGGGACAAGUGCCUCAGCAAAACUCUAACCUCAUUACUAGUAGCCUUUCGGCUCUCUUAUUCCAAUAGGUCUGGCGCCCAGAGAGCAAAGCUCAACCAGGGUCCUUAAAUCCAGCCUGGACACUUGAUUUCCAAAUAAGUCGGCGUUUAAAGAGCAACGUUCGACAAGGGACCUUCUUCCAGUAGUCAAACUUUCACAGCCUAGAGAAUUAUACUCAACUAGGACAAACCCAAAAAUAACAUUUAUUACAUGUCUCUGAUUAAUAUUGGUGUACACGCGGUCCUGAUACAACCCAUAAUAUGGCAAUGUUCUACUGCCGCCUCAUCCCCAUGUCACAAUCCUAGAAUCAAUAAUAAUUAUAAAUAAUAUAAUCAUAGGUAAAUAUAGUUUAUUCAAUAACAUAUUAAGAAUUUAAAUUUAAUAGUUUCGAGUAUAGUAAACAUGAAAAUCAGAUAUAAUAAUAAUAAUAAUAAAUUAAUAGUAAAAACAAUAAUGGUAAUAAUAUUAAUAAUAGUAUCGAUAAUAAUAAAAUUAAACCUUUUUAUAAUAAUAAUACUAAAAGUAAUAAUAAUUAUUAUUAAUUAAUUAAUAAUGCAUUUAAAUUAGACAUGACACAAAAGCAGUUGAUCAUAUGACUUUAACUCACAGUUCUGUCGCGCUCUGCAGUCUACGUAUAUACCUCAGGUGGAGCUGGCUGGAUGGACAGAUUAUCUAUUCACGAAAAUACUCAGUUAAUAAGAUAUUCUUAAUUUUUCCUAGAUCUAGACUCCUAGAAUAGAUUGCCUAAGAAAAUUCAGACUCAAAAAUUCUACUGAAAAUUCGGCAGAACCUCCUCUAAAAUAUAGAAGUUUACCCCUCGUAUAAUGGGUCCAAAACCUGCUAGAAACACUUCAAAUCUUCUGCAAUUAAUUAAUGGGAGUCAGGCCACCAAAACUACAUUAUUUUUUCGAACUCCACAAUACCCCACAUAUCACAAUUAUCUUACAGACGGUCCAACAUAAUAUUUAUUUCGACAAUCAACCCAUACAAAAUUUUCUGAUAAUUAAACUAAUUCAACACAACCACAUCUACCACAAAACAACACAAUAAUUAAUCAUACCAACUAAUUUGUAAUAUUAUAUUUAAGACAUAAUUAAUUAAAUCUAAUUAAAUUAAAUUAUCUAUAAUUAAUAAUUAAUAGCAACAAUAUUUUCUAAAAUUAUAAAAUAAUUUUUAAGGUCCAAAUAAAAUUAUACCGAGCAAAAAAUCUAAAGUUCAGCAUUCGGAAAACACCGGGUUCCGAAAGCCGAUACUGUCAAUGGUGUCUACUAGGGAAUGGGGAGGCUUAAGGCCACCAAAACCAGUAGUAAGCCUUACCGACCCAUAAAUCCAGAUAAUCAGUAAACAAAUAUAAUUAAUCAUGAAUACAUUCAUAAAUAAUUCUAUCAUGUUUUAAUAGCAUCGCACGUCCAAUAUGGACCAGGAUAAUCACGACAAUUUUAAAGUUCACUACUACGGAAAAUCUAGAGCAAAUAAUAACAAAAGUAUAGUAUUACAAGAUGAUUACAAAAGUCCGAGGAAGAAGAAGUCAGACUGUCAACAAUGCAGAAUGGCGAAGCACUUUAACUAUCACCUGAAAAAAUCACAACUGAGACUGUCACUCUCAGGAGUGAGUUAAAAUCAAAUAAUCUAUACACUAUUGUAAUCUUCACAGAAAAUAUCAAUUAUUUGAAUCAGUAUGACAGCCCUGAACAUAAAUACAAAUCAUAAUAUAAUCAUGCCAUAAUUUAAAUAAAUGAAAUAUAUUUUUUACUUUUACGGGACGAGUGGCUCAGUAAAAUCCUAACUCCAAAUUCUAGUAGCCUUUCGGCUCUCUUAAUCCAACAGGUCUGGCGCCCAGAGAGCAAAGCUCGACCAGGGUCCUUACCUCCAGCCUGAACACUUGAUUCCAACCAAGCCGGCGCCCAGAGAGUAUCGCUCGACCAGGGACCUUGCCUCCGGCCUGAACACUUGAUUCCAACCAAGCCGGCGCCCAGAGAGCAUCGCUCGACCAGGGACCUUACCUCCGGCAAUUUACUUAAAUCAGCCCAGAUAGCCAUGCUCGACCAGGGCAAAACUCAUCAUAAUCUUAUUACCUGUCCAUGAUUAUUACCAGUGCGCACGCGAUCCUGAUGUAACCCAUCAAGUGGCAUGUUCUACAAAAGCCACAUUCCCAACUUGCGAUCAUCACAUUUAAUAAUAAUCAUUUUCUAACAAAAUCAUUUAAUACAUAUUGAAGUAAAGACUAUAAAAUCUUAAGUAAAGCAUCAUGCAAUCUGUAUAGAAAAAUAAUAGUUUUUGUAUCAAUAUAACAUUACUAAUAUUAGUAAUUAAAUUAUUAUUAAUAAUUAUUAAUUGAAUGAAAUUAUUUAUAUUGGAAUACUAUUAAUCAUAUUGAAUGAGAAGGAAGGAAAAGGUGAAGGAGAAGGGAGGGGGAGGGAGGAAGGAAAGGAGAGAGAGGGAGGAGGGAAAAGAGAGAGGGGGGAUGGGGAAAAGGGGUUUAUAUAUAUAUAUAAAUUAUUGUUAUAAUAAAUAAGAGUAUUACAUUCUACCCCCCUUAGAAAAAAAUUCGACCUCGAAUUUUAAAACAUGAUUCACUUAGGAUUGAUAUAAAUGAGGGUAGAGGCUUCUCAUUUCCUGCUCGGUUUCCCAAGUACACUCUUCAGACAAAUGAUUCUGCCACAAAACCUUAACCAUCGGAAUAAUUUUAGAGCGCAGCUGGCGAACUUGAGUAUCCAUGAUCCUGACUGGCUGCUCCUCGUAAGUCAGAUCUUCACCUACUUCUACAAAUUGAGGUUGCAACACAUGCGAAGGGUCUGAAAUAUACUUCCUUAACAUCGAUAUGCGGAAUACCGGAUGCACGUGCGAGAAAUUCGGUGGCAAGUCCAGCUUGUAUGCCACAUCUCCAUUCUGUCAAUAAUCUCAAAGGGUCCCACAUAACGAGGCACUAAUUUGGCCUUCUUGUCAAACCGCAUCACACCACGCAUAGGAGACACCUUGAAGAACACAUAUUCCCCGACACUGAAUUCCAUGUGCUUCCGCUUUGGAUCCGCAUAACUUUUCUGCCUACUGAAAGCUGUCUUCAGUCGCUCGCUAAUAACCGAAAUCUUUUAUGAAGUGAUCUGAACUAACUCUGGUCCUGCUAACUUCCGUUUGCUAACCUCUUCCCAACAUACGGGAGAUCUACACUUCUGACCUUACAAAGCCUCGUAAGGUACCAUUUCAAUGCUUGCAUGAUAGCUGUUAUUAUACGCGAAUUCGACCGAUGGUAGAUACCAAUCCCAUUGACCACUAAAAUCUAUCACGCACAUCAGAAGCAUAUCCUCUAAAGUCUGAAUAGUCCUUUCUGAUUGUCCGUCCGUCUGAGGAUGGAAGGCCGUACUGAAGUCCAACCUAGUACCAAGCUCUUCUUGUAGUUUUUCCUAAAUCUUGAAGUAAACUGCGGCCCUGUAUCAGACACUAUGGAAACUGAAACGCCGUGAAGACUGACAAUCCUUUCUAGAUACACUCGUGCAUACUUAGCCAUAAAAUAGGUAGUCUUUACCGGGAGAAAAUGCACUGACUUAGUCAACCGAUCCACAAUCACCCAGAUGGAGUCAUAACCAGCGAAGGUCUUUGGUAAACUCGACACGAAAUCCAUAGUAAUCCUUUCCCAUUUCCACUCUGGUAUAGGAAGCGGCUGCAAUAACCCUGACGGCUUUUGAUGCUCCAACUUAACCUGCUGACACGUCAGACAUUUGGAGACAAACUCUGCUACAUCUCUCUUCAUCCCACUCCACCAAUAAUUUCCUUUCAAAUCAUGGUAAAUCUUUGUGGAGCCCGGAUGCACGCUGUAAGCUGUACAGUGAGCUUCUUCUAAAAUCUCCUUCCUAAGAUUAUCCACAUCGGGAACACACAGCCUAGAGCCCAUCAAGAGGGUGCCAUUAUCAUUUAUAACAAAGUUAUUAGCUCGACCCUGCUGCACAUCUUCCAAGAUUUUCUGUAACCGCAGGUCCCGAUUCUGAGCCAUCCUGAUUCUAUCAACUAGCACAGACCUAAUCCUAAAAUGUGCUAACAACACACCCGAUUCCAAUAUCUCUAUCUGUAGCCCUUGGUCGUACAGUUCAUGCAACUCUUUAGCCAGCGAUCUCUUCUCUGCACUGAUAUGAGCAAGACUACCUACCGACUUCCUGCUCAAAACAUCUGUUACAACAUUCACUUUACCUGGGUGGUACAAAAUAUUACAAUCAUAGUCCUUCAGAAGCUCUAACCAUCUCCUCUGCCUCAUAUUUUAUUUCUUUUGCUGGAAAAUAUACUUUAAACUCUUGUGAUUCGUAUAAAUCUCACACGUCUCCCCAUAGAGAUAGUGUCUCCAAAUCUUCAAUGCAAAAAUUACUGCUGCCAUCUCCAAGUCGUGGGUCGGAUAAUUCUGCUCAUGCUUCUUUAACUGUCUGGACGCAUAAGCUACUACCUUCCCAUUUUGCAUUAAGACGCAACCCAGACCCACUCUAGAAGCGUCGCAAUACGCCGUGAUUCCACUAGUGCCAGAAGGUAAGGUCAACAACGGAGCUGAAGUCAAACAGUCUUUCAGCUUUUGAAAGCUUCUCUCACACACGUCAGUCCACUGAAACUUGACAUUUUUCUGAGUCAGCUUAGUCAAAGGCGCUACUAUCUUCGAAAAGUCUUACACAAAUUGGUGGUAGUAGCCUGCCAACCCUAGGAAGCUGCGCACUUCAGACACCAAGGUCGGUCUCUGCCAAUCAGUCACUGCCUCCACUUUCUUGGGGUCCAUCUGAAUACCCUCUCAAGACACAACGUGCCCCAGAACUAGAGCUACUGUAGCAUGAACUCUAUCCACUACCACUGAAGCCCUGACCAGGUCUGAAUCCUCGGCUACUCCUCCGAUUAUGCCUACCCUUUCUAUGGAUACGGUGACUUCUCUGCUCGGUCUGCUAGUCGGUACCGCCAGAGUAACCUCCACUGCCGCAGUACGGCACGACAGGCUGCGCACUGGACUGAUCCUCAACCCUGGUCUUCUUCUUCCUACCAUCGUUAGUCCCCUGACCAAACCCUCGCAGCGACAUCUCCAUUUGUCUCGCCAUGUCAGUCACUUCUAGGAAGCUGCUCCUCCUAUACUGAACCAAGGAAAAAAACUCUGGACCGAGCCCUGAAAUGUCCUUGAUGUUCUUCUGCUCCUCGGUCCCUACAGCAUAGGGUGCAUACCUACUCAGCUGAACAAAUUGCCUGGUGUAUUCAGCCACUGAUAGAUCUCCCUUAACUAACCUUUCAAACCUCUCUCUGAACUCCUGCGUUAAACUAAAAGGGAUGAAGUGCCCUUCGAAUCUGUCUCUGAAUUACCUCCACGACAAACCAUCAAGAAAGGGGCAGAUAUAAUCUCUGAACCACUGGGAUGCUAUUCCCUUCAAGGAAAAUCCGGCCAUCUCGAUGGUCCUCUUGUCAGAACAGUGCAAAUCAGACGCCCUCUUUUCAACCUCACCCAAAAAGUCCAGAGGGUCUCCAACUGUCCCAUCAAACUCCACAGGUCUUAAAUUGGUAUACUCAGACAUAGGGACAUCGUCCGGAUUCCUGAUACCGGACCCACUAGCAUGGCUUCCUGCACCCUGGGCAGCCUGCUACUGCUGGAAGGCUAGCAACUGCUCUAAGGCCCCCUACAUCCCAGUCAUACUGGACACAAAAGCCUCCACUGAGAUUCCACCCGUACCAUGUACCUCCUGAGCCUCGCCCUGAUCUAGUUGGGCUGCUGCUCGAGGCCUACCUCACCUUCUAGUACCACGGGCUGGGUCCGGAAGAUCCGUUUGAGUAGAAAACUCAUCUUCGCCUUCCUGGGCCGAUGCUGCAGCUGCAGUCGCUCGGGUUCUCGGCAUGGCAAGAGCUGAAAAUAAACAACAAGCUAUUAAACCCAACAAACUCUCUAACGUACAACGCAGAUACUAGAAUCAACGAAACAUGCAAGGACAGACUCGAUUUCCCUAGUUUCCGCAGUAGUUUAGGAAGCUAACCUAGGUCGAAGGAAAACUAAACCUAAGCUCUGAUACCAACUUUUCACGACCCAUUAUGUGGGCCCGUGACCGGCACUAGGAAAUGGGUAGGCUUAAGGCCAUCAAAACCCGUAGUAAGCCUUACCGACCCAUAAAUCCAGAUAAUCAGUAAACAAAUAUAAUUAAUCAUGAAUGACAUUCAUAAAUAAUUCUAUCAUGUUUUUAUAGCAUCGCACGUCCAAUAUGGACCGGGAUAAUCACGACAAUUUUAAAGUUCACUACUGCGGAAAAUCUAGAGCAAAUAAUAACAAAAGUAUAGCAUUACAAGAUGAUUACAAAAGUCCGAGGAAGAAGAAGUCAGACUGUCAACAAUGCAGAAUGGCGAAACACUUUAACUGUCACCUGAAAAAAUUACAACUGAGACUGUCACUCUCGGGAGUGAGUUAAAAUCAAAUAAUCUAGAGACUAUUUUAAUUUUCACAUAAAAUAUCAAUUAUUUGAAUCAGUAUGACAACCCUGAACAUAAAUACAAAUCAUAAUAUAAUCAUGCCGUAAUUUAAAUAAAUGAAAUAUAUUUUUUACUUUUACAGGACGAGUGCCUCAAUAGAAUCCUAACCCCAAAUUCUAGUAGCCUUUCGGCUCUCUUAAUCCAACAGGUCUGGCGCCCAGAGAGCAAAGCUCGACCAGGGUCCUUACCUCCAGCCUGAACACUUGAUUCCAACCAAGCCGACGCCCAGAGAGCAUCGCUCGACCAGGGACCUUACCUCCGGCUUGAACACUUGAUUCCAACCAAGUCGGCGCCCAGAGAGCAUCGCUCGACCAGGGAUCUUACCUCCGGCAAUUUACUUAAAUCAGCCCAGAGAGCCAUGCUCGACCAGGGCAAAACUCAUCAUAAUCUUAUUACCUGUCCAUGAUCAUUACCGGUGCGCAAGCGGUCCUGAUGUAACCCAUCAGGUGGCAUGUUCUACAAAAGCCACAUUCCCAACUUGCAAUCAUCACAUUUAAUAAUAAUCAUUUUCUAACAAAAUCAUUCAAUACAUAUUGAAGUAAAGACUAUAAAAUCUUAAGUAAAGCAUCAUGCAAUCUGUGUAGAAAAAUAAUAGUUUUUGUAUCAAUAUAACAUUACUAAUAUUAGUAAUUAAAUUAUUAUCAAUAAUUAUUAAUUGAAUGAAAUUAUUUAUAUUGGAAUACUAUUAAUCAUAUGAACAUAAUUCCUAGCAUAGCAUAUUAAUUUCAGUCUCAGCAAUAGUGCAACGAUUAAGUGAUUUUAACUCACAGAUUUGAUGCGUUCCGCAGUCCGCUCCUACGCCUCGGGUGGAGCUAGCAGGAAGGCUGAAUUAUCUAAUAACAAAAGACAUACAAUUUAUAGACAUUUGAAAAUUUUCCUAAACUUAGACCCUAGAGUAGACUGCCUAGAAUUAAAUUAGACUCGAGGAAUCUGCUGAAAAUUUGGCAAAACCUCCCCUAAAUUACGGAUAUUUAUCCCCCGUAAAACGGGUCCAGGACCUGUCAAAAUACAUCAAACAUACUGAAAUUUAAUAACAGGAGUCGGGCCACAAGAACUACAUUAANNNAGCGCCUACACAAAGCUCGAGUUAUAAGGAGUCCGGAAGUACAAGAGUUUUGGUCGAAAAAUAGCCGGAAGGCAGCGGAUCGGGGCCGAAAAGUUGCUGCUCACGCGACACUCUUCAAGAUUGCCGGUGAGGAUUUUCUAGCGGAAGAGGGCUUUUUCCGAGGUUUUCGGGGAUGAGGAGCUCAUUUCCGGCGUCAGAUCGCUGAAAACACGCUGGCAAGAGGGCGAACGGCGAAGACAACCCCCUUGCUCUUGACGACGCCGAUGGAAAAGGAGGAAAGGGAAGGGGGAGCUGCUGCUGGGUGGCAGAAGGGGAGGAGGGCGCUGGCGACGGCGUGCAGGCGGCAGGGAAGGGUGGGGCUGCCGGAGGGAGAAGGAAGGAAAAGGAGAAGGAGAGGGAGGAAGGAAAGGAGUGAGGGAGGAGGGAAAAGAGAGAGGGGGGGGGGGGUGGGAAAAAUGGGUUUAUAUAUAUAAAUGAACAGUGCUUGUUUAUCAGUGAUAUGAUGCAUAUUAAAAUGAGUUUAAAAUCUUCUUUAUGCAGAUGAUGUUUCUUUUCCGGAAUCCAAAUAGCUUUGAUACCACAAGAUAGAGAUCAACAUGAUUUUAAAAGAUUUUCAAAUUGAUAAAAAGCUUUUACAUGAAGAUUUUUAUUCAAAGAAAAACCAUUCUAAAAAACUUGGGUUUUUUAAGAAUUCUUUACAAGAAAAAUACAGUAUUCAAGAAAGAUACUAUCAAUUUUGCAUUCAAAACAAAGUCCAAAUCAAAUUUUUUGAUUGGUUUCAAAUUUAUUGCAAAGAAAAUAGUAUUCUUUAUCCUUUCAAAGAAAAGCUUAUUAGUCUUGUCACUGUUAGAAACAAGGCUCCAGAGUAGAAAGUCGGAGAAAACCAAACCAUCCAGUCUGAACAUCCUCCCCUUAGGAAGAUAACUAUUCCUUAUGAAGAAAAUAAAAUAGAGGCUACACCUUACAAAUUGGUAGGAGAAGAUCUAGAGAAGAAUGUCAAGAAUAUUGUUCAGCAGAACAAUUUCAUUCUAUCUUAACACAAUAGGGAAACAGCUUGUUAGGAUAGAAAGCCAUAUCCAAAAACCUCCUAUAGUCUUCACCUCUCCAAUCCCCAACACUGAACACCCAAAAGAGAUAAGCCAGUCGGAGAAGCUCAAAAAUCCAGUCUUCAAAUCCUACCAAAUCUCAAAGCCUAGCCAAGAUCAAUUUCAAAAGCAAACUGAGUUUGCUAGAGCAGUCAGAGAACAACUUAGCAAAUUAGCAACUUCUGAGUCUUCCAAAAAUCUAGUGCUAGAUACUCCUCAAAGUAGUAGGAAUAUCAGUGCUAUAGAUCAAGCCCAUUGUGAUAAAUCAAAUGAUUCAGAGCUUGAAAGUGUCAUUGACAAACCCUCCAACAUCAACAGAUUGGGAUGCAAGCCCCUAGAUUGACUUGGCAUACUCCUAGGAAUACUGCCCCAGAUCUAGGAAUAGAAAAUAAGAACAAUAUCCUAACCCAAUCUAGAUUCAAUGCCUCCUCCGUCUAUGAAUGGAAUAUAGAUGGAAUGUCAGAAUACAAUAUCCUUGGUCUCUUGCAACAGAUGACCAUGGCAGCCAAUGCUUACAAAACCCAAAGUGGUACCUCUGAUAAAGCCAUUGCUGAACUCCUUAUAGCUGGAUUUUCUGGCCAGCUUAAAGGAUGGUGGGAUUACCAGCUCCAAAUCCUAGGUGCCAUCCAAACCACAAUAGAAGGGACCCCCAUCUUAGAUGAACUAGGAAAUCCAAUUGAGGAUGUUGUGUCAACCUUAAUCCUAACGAUUUCCCUCCACUUCAUAGGAGACUCUUCUCUUCUGAAAUAUAAGAAUGCUGAGCUCCUUAGCAAUCUAACCUGUAAAAAGCUUAGCAAUUUCCAAGCCUACAAAGACACCUUCCUGACCAGAGUCAUGCUUAGAGAAGAUUCAAGCCAACCUUUCUGGAAAGAGAAAUUCUUAGCCAGUUUACCUAAGAUACUAGGUGAAAGAGUUAGGAAUACCAUAAGAGAAGCCCAUAACGGCCAGAUCCCUUAUGAUUUCUACACUUAUGGUGAAUUAGUGAGCCUUACCCAGAAAGAAGGAUUGAAGAUAUGCCAUGACCUUAAACUUCAAAGGCAACUCAAAUGGAAAAUGAAGAAGACUGGGCAAGAACUAGGUAGUUUUUGUAACCAGUUUGAAUAUAAUCCCAUAGAGCCUCCCCCUACCUGCAAAGAAAAAUGCAAAGAAGAUUUUUCCAAAUCUCUUAAGAAAAAAUAUUUUUUUUCAAAAGUAGAAGGACUCCCAAAUAACAAAGAGAAUUUCUACAAAAAGCCAUCCUCUUCAAAAUUUCCAAAACAAAAUUCCAAAAAAGAUUUUAGCAAAAUUACUUGCUAUAAGUGUGGCAAAAAGGGCCAUACUUCAAAAUAUUGCAAGUUUUCCAAAAAACUCCAUGAGCUCCAAAUAGAAGAUGAAGUUUUAAGCAAAAUUUCAGCUCUUCUUGUUGAUUCCUCUGAAUUAGAAUUUUCAAAUAGUGAGGAAGAGUUUCAAAUUGAUGAAAUCAAAACCUCAUUCGAUUAUUCUGAAUUAGAUUCUGAAGAUAUUUCAAAGAAUAUUAAUAUGCUCACUAGGCAACAAGAAGCUCUUCUUGAAGCCGUCAAGCAUAUUAAUGAUCCCCAAAUCUAAAAACAAGUUUUGAAAGAAAUCCUAAAAACUGAAACCCUUAUCCCCUCUUCUAGUAAGAAUACUUAUGAUCUUACUAUGAUCUUGGAUAAAGGGAAAAAACUAAAAAACCCUCUUUCUACCGUUCAAGAACUUCAGAAAGAAAUCAAAGCUAUCAAAAUUGAGCUCAAAGAUUUGAAAAAAAAAAUAACAAAAUGAUUAUGUUUUACUCCAAAGCCUGAUUCUCAAAUAGAAUAGUGAUUCUGAUUCUGAAGAAGAAAAUGAUUUUCAAAAUCUUGAGGUUUCUGAAAGUGUUCCAGAAAACCUCAUUAAUGUUUUAAAGGAAAUUACCUCAAGAAAAUAUUUGAUUCAAAUAAAACUCAUUUUCCCUGGUCAUUUCCAAAUAGAAACCAUCACUUUAUUUGAUACAGGAGCAGACCUCAAUUGUAUCAAUUAUGAGCUGGUUCCUAAAAGGUAUCAUCAAGAAACUAAAGAGAGGCUUACUUCAGCCAAUAGUUCAAAGAUUAGGAUUGCGGGAAAAACUGAAGCUGCAAUUCUAAAUAAUAAUAUUGCUUUAAAAAAUGUUUUUAUUUUUACAAAAGAUCUUCAGCAAACAGUUAUUUUGGGAACUCCUUUUAGCAAUUUAAUUACUCCUUUUAAAGUAACUACUGCUGGUAUUAUUUUUAAAGCUAAAGAUUCAAUGAUUAUUUUUCCUUUUAUAGAAAAACCCAAAAAGAGAAAUCUCAAUCUUAUUAAAGCCCACUCAAUUUAUAAUUUUGAAAUAAAUGCUUUGAUCAAAGGAAAACAAACCUAGCUUUUCCAUUUGAAACAAGAUAUGGGUUUGAAAAGAAUCCAAAAUCAAAUGCAAAAUGACUUUGUCCAAAGAAAAAUCUCUGAUUUGCAAACGAAGAUUGAAAAUGAAGUUUGUUCUGAUCUUCCUAAUGCUUUUUGGAGACAAAAACAACAUAUGGUAGACUUACCAUAUGAAAAAAAAAUUUCUGAUAAACAAAUCUCAUCCAAAUGAAUGAAACCCUAGAAAGCCGUGGCAGAAUAGAAAUAAAAGAUUUAGAGCAAAAAGGUUUGAUUACCAAAUCUAGAUCCCCCUGGUCAUGUGCAGCUUUCUAUGUCAACAAGAAUAAUGAGAUAGAAAGAGGAACACCUAGGUUGGUGAUUAAUUACAAACCUUUAAAUAAAGCCCUAAAGUGGAUCAGAUACCCAAUUCCAAACAAAAAAUAUCUUCUUCAAAAGCUUCAUUCUGCUUUUAUUUUUUCAAAGUUUGAUAUGAAAUUAGGAUUUUGGCAAAUCCAGAUUUAUCCAAAAGACAGGUACAAAACUGCUUUUACAGUUCCAUUUGGCCAGUACGAAUGGAAUGUAAUGCCCUUCGGAUUAAAAAAUGCUCCUUCUGAAUUUUAAAAAAUCAUGAAUGACAUUUUCAAUCCUUAUUCAAAGUUUUGCAUUGUCUACAUUGAUGAUGUAUUGAUAUUUUCAAAUUCUCUAGAGCAACAUUUCAAACACUUGGAGACAUUUUUUUAUGUUGUUAAGAAAAAUGGUUUAGUGGUUUCAAAAUUCAAGAUAUCUUUAUUUCAAACAAAAAUUAGAUUUCUUGGACACUAUAUCUCCCGGGGAACUAUCACCCCAAUUGAAAGGUCUCUAGCAUUUACUUCAAAGUUUUCAGACAAAAUUUUAGAAAAAACACAAUUACAAAUAUUCCUUGGUAGUUUAAAUUAUGUAAUGGAUUUUUAUCCAAACUUGAACUGUAUUGCAAAGCCCCUUCAUGAUAGGUUAAAGAAAAACCCCCCUGUAUGGACCGAUGAGCACACAAAGACUGUCCAAAGCAUAAAAAAGCAAGUUUCUGAAAUACCAUGUUUACACCUAGCUGAUCCAUCUGCAUUCAAAAUUGUUGAAACUGAUGCAUCAAAUCUAGGAUAUGGUGGGAUUCUUAAGCAAGUCCAAAACAACAAAGAAUGUAUUGUCCAGUUUACUUCUGCACACUGGAAUGAUACACAAAAAAAUUAUUCAACUAUCUAAAAAGAAAUUCUUUCGAUAGUUUUGUGCAUUUCAAAAUUUCAAAGCGAUCUUUUAAACCAAAAAUUUCUUUUAAGGAUUGAUUGUAAAUCUGCUAAAGAAGUUUUACAAAAAGAUGUUCAAAACAUAGCUUCAAAAUAAAUUUUUGCCAGAUGGCAAGCCAUUCUUUCUGUUUUUGACUUUGAAAUCGAAUACAUAAGAGGAGAUUCGAAUUCAAUUCCAGACUUUCUAACUAGAGAGUUUCUUCAAAAACAUGAGUGAAAAUGCCAAGAAAAUCAAAAGCAAAAAAAGAAAAAUCGACAGCAAGUUCAAAGCCUGUCCAAAGUCCAAAGAAGGAAAUUUUUCCUUCUUCUUCAAAGCCCAUCAGAACCUGGACCGAAAUCAUCCAGGAAGAAAUUGACCAAAGCAAGGUCGAUCCGGCCCAACAACAGUUACAAAUUCAGGAAUGGUUUGCACAACAAGAUCCUGAAUUCCUGAAAAGGGUCGAAGAAUAUUCAAAGCAGUUGAUACAACUUCAACCCGAAGCAUCUCCAAAGUCAUCCUCCUCUUCCAACAAGGGUAAAGGUAUACUUUCUAUCCCUUUUUCAAAACCUGAGAUAGAAAUUUUUUCUCAAAACCUAUCUCAGAGCUCUAAAAGUAUUUUAAAGCCCAACUCUCAACAAAUAAUUUUGUCACAAACAAAACUUUUUAAAUCCAACGAAUAUAUAGAAAAGCAAAAUUAUUAAAAUAUUUUGACUAUUGAGGAAGGAUUCUGUACAGAAAGCCCCUCAAAACUCAUUUCAAAGAUUUUCCCUCCAGGAUGGUAUUUCAAGCCCUGGAAUAUUUCAAAGCCUCAAUUCUACUACCAGUCUAUCCUUGAGGUAACUGGUUUUGCAAAGUUUAAACACUUCAAAAAAUACAAAGACCAUAAAGACCCUGCAUAUUCCACAUGCACCAUACAAAGAAUCCUUCACCCUACAGAUUGGGGAAUGGAUUUACACUCUUCAAGAUCUUUCCCAACUUCCCUCCAAAGAACCUACCCAUCAAGCCUAAACACUUCCUUCAACUAUUGGGAUUACCAACAAGCUUGGUUUAAUACCUUUCUUCUUCAAAACGAAGGAAAAAGCCAUUCUUGACUUUUCUACUUCGAUACAAGCUCAAUCCAAACUUCAAAGAUCCCCUAUUGGUUUAAACAAUGGUGGAAUUUUUAUGGCAAUGUUCCUGAGACCAUAAUUCCAGAAGUUCUACCUCUGUUUAACCUUUUCAAAGCCCACUACAAACCAAACAAAAUAGAAAGACGUUUUCCCCCGUUAUUUCUAUUUUGUUCAAACUUUUUUCUCCCUUGUGUAUGUGUUUGGUAUUUCCAUUUCAAUCAAGUAGCAGAUGGAGAAAUCAUCCUUACCCGAAGGUUCAAAGUCAAAUGGUGGGAUAAAUUUAACCACCAAGAAAAAUUAUCACUAAAGUUGGUACAAAGUUUCCUUUCAAAAAAUAGCUUCUUGUCACCUUCGAAAGAACAAACCACUUUCUUGGCACAGAAGUCCUUCAUAAUUCCAAAGCUAACAGCGGCUCAGACAGAAGAGGAUUUCUUACAGUUGAUCAAACAAUUGUCGGAAACCGCCUCUUCCAAAGGAAAAUCAAAAGCCUCAUCUUCCUCUUCCAGCACCAGCUCGGCAGUAAUAGACCUAGAUGGUGACUCAAACGAAGAUGACUGUUUUAGGAUUUUCAAGCCCAUUAAAUGACACCUAUGUAAAGCCCUUGGGUUGAAAACUAGAAAUAGCAGCCCAAAAUAUUUAUGUAAUGGGCCAAAAGCCCAAAAUAAAAUUAAAAAAAAAAAGAAGAAGAAAGAAGACAAAAGAAAAGCAAAAGAUUCUUUUUCAAAGCAUGGCCGACAACUUCCACAAAAGGAGUGAAGCAUCUUACUCCAUUAUCACAAGACUACAAGAAGAAGUGGAGCCCCCCUUUAUUCCACUAAGUAGAGCAUCCAAAGCUUCAAGAAGAGCAUCCAAAGCUUCAAGACCUCUAUAAAUAGAGGAGUUUCCCUUAGAAGAGAGCAGACUGAAAAAUACAAAGAACCUCUUGUAUUCUUCAAGUCACACAAAGAAAAAAUAUAGUGAGAAAAGAGAGAGUAUAGUGUGAGAGUUAUAUUGAGAAGAAACAUUUUCCUCUUAUAUUCAAUUUCUCCUCUUGUAAGUUAUAUUUCUCUAGUUUAAAGCUUUCAUUUUAAAGCUUUUUCCAAAGUUUGUAUAUUUGUUCAAAGUUUAUCAAUAAAUUUUUAUCUUCUUAUCUACAAUUUUUAAGAUUUAACAAGCGUAUGCUCUAUGCUUGCCUCGUCUGAGGAUCCUGCACACCAGAAACUUGUUGAUCUAUUUCUGGUAUAUUUCUCUAUCUUGUUAUCAGAGCCAUUUGGAUUUCGGGAAAGAAACAUCAUCUGCAUAAAGAAGAUUUUAAACUCAUUUUAAUCUGCAUUAUAUCACUGAUAAACAAGCACUGAUAAGUAAGUCCCGUCAGGUGUAAGGGCAAUAAAACUGGUGGCUUGGUUCAUGUUUGUUUAGAAAGUUAUUUUGGUUUAUUUUAAAAUGAAUUUAGAACCAUUUUUCUGUAGAUCUUCUUCUUUCUCAAACUCUUCUACCUCUGAAUCUUCAAGGUACAAAGAUUUAGUAAAUAGUAAAGAAAUCACUAUUGAAGAUUUUACAAAGCAUAUUGAUGAUUAGGAAAUACCCAAAGUUCAAAAGAAACAAAUUUAUGAGUAUUCAAAGUUUUCUCUCUUCAAAACUGAAGAAAGAGAUAUUCAGAUUUCAAAGCCUUUUGAAGAAAUUUAUCUUUUAAAUCCAAAGACCCUCCAUAAGCAUAAAGAAAAAGAUUAUAAGUAUAUCCAUAUAGGCCUUGUUCAGGUAGGAAGCCCCUUAUCAGAGAAGGUUUAGAUACUUCCAUCUUAGUAGUCCUUAGAGAUGCUAGGUUUACAAAUUUUUAUGAUUUUUUAUUAGGUACUGUCGAGUCGAGCAUCAAUAAAGGACCAAUUUCUUUCAAUUGUUUUCCAAACAUCAUAAUUUCAUUAAAUGAUAAAAAUGUUUUAAAGAACAUUGUUCUGCAAAUAAAGACACAUAAUUACAAAAUGCUUGAAGGAUCUAUUCCGAUAGCAUUGAUUUUUAAAAUACAUUAUAAAGCCAUGAUUUCUGCUUUUGGUUCAAAACACAAGCUCCAUUCACCAAAAGGAGAAACCUUAUUCCUACAAACAGAUCUCUUCAAAUCCAAUGCAACAAUUCCAAAAACCAUUCAAUGGAAAGACAUCACUCUUCCAGAAGAAUGGAUCCUUGAAGGUGCAACUCAACCUGAAUCACCAAAGUAAACAGAACCAAAUACAAAUCUCAAAAAUAUAACCCAAUUUCCAGAUGGAAAAGUAAAGCUCACGUUCAACAGAAAAUCAACCUCUUCUAGAUUUUCUGAUGAUGAUUCUUCAACAUCGACCAUAGAUAUUGGAAGGGUAUCAAAAAUUCCUUCUAUUAUCUAUGCUCCUUACAAAGAACCAACUCCAUCUCAAACACAACCCAGAUUUUCAACAUCUGAUAUACCAAGCUCAAACAAUAUACUACAGAAUGUUGAUUACCAAAGCAAUAUCCCCAGACCAAUCUACAAUGAACCAAAGAAAGAAGAUGAGGAUAUAGAGAUCGUCUCUACCCCCUCUUCACCAUAUCCAUCUGCUAUAUAUAUAUAAAUUAUUGUCAUAAUAAAUAAGAGUAUUACAGUGUUAGAAUUCGAAUCCGGAAGCACCUAUACGAAGCUUUUAGUUGUGGGGAGUCCGAAAAUGCAAAAGCUUUGGCCGGAAACUCGCCGGAAGCCACUGGAUUGAGGCCGGAAAGGCGCUGCUUCGGUGAGGCUUCACCGAGGCUUCAAGUGAUGAAAAACAGCAGGGGAAGCUCGGCUUAGGGGUUUUCGAUGAUGAGGAGCUUGUUUCCGGCAUUGGCUUUGCGAGGGGAGGGCGGUAGGUGGCUAGUUCGAAGGCGGUAGCUCCCUCUCUUCCGUGUUGACAUCGGUAGCGAUGAGGAAGGGAGGAAAAAGAGAACGACGCGGUGAGAGAGGGGAAGGAAGGAGGAGACAGUGGCAGCAACAGAAAGUGGGAGGUGGCAGCAGCUUGAAGGCGACGAGGGAGAAAGUAAGAAGAAGGAGAAGAGAAGAGAAAGGGGGGGGGGGGGGAAGGGGGGGGGGGAGUGAAUGGAUAUGGAAUUCCUGUAGACACGAACCCUACACCCAAGGCUGUCAAAAGCUAUUACAAAAAAAUCUGUCAAAGGACCACAUGUUAGGUCCACACAUAUAUUAACAAGACAACAACCAUAACAAACAUUAUUAAUUAGGGUUUCAAAAAUAAAAAAAUAAUUGUUUGUUAGGUCUUCUUCAUCUAAGUCUUCUUUUCAUUCCUAAUUCCUUUGUUCUCUGUAUUUUCUGGAGGCACCUAAGCUCUCUUCUUUGUUGAAACACUUCCAUCAAUCUUUUUUUUUUCCUUUGUAUUGAAGCUUUGUUGUUGUGCCAACUCCUUUCUUACUUAUUGCAGCACUUCCUUCAGUCUCAACCUCUUUUCUCAACAAUUUUGGGGGUUUAAAAGUAUUUUUUUUUCCUUACAUUCAAUUGCUGGCUUUUUUGCACUUCAUCUUUUCUUUGUCUGUGAAAGUCUUUCAAUGCCCAUAUCUGGUGGUAGCUCACUCAACAUAUCNNNGGGGGGGGGGGGAAACAGAAGAAAUUCUUAAGAAAAAAAUUCUUUUCUUCUUCUUUUUUAUUUUAUUUAUAUAUAAUAAUAUAAUAUAAUAUUAUUUAUUUAUUAUACUAAGGUAUUACAGUGUCAUACCAAAUCUAUCUAAAAAGGUACGAAUAAAUCUUUUACGUUAUAUUCUCUGUUUCAUAUUAACUAUUAUUUUUUAGCACUUCACUUAAAUUAAAAAAUAUUUAAUAAGUUUAAUUAUAUAUAAAAAAUUAAUUAUAUUAUAUUAAAUUAUUUAUUAUAAAUAUUAUAAAAUUUGUUAUAUCUAUUCUAAUAUAGAAAUAUAAUUAAAAAAAUUUGAUAUUCUAUAGAUAAAUAAAAAAAUUUAUUCUAAAAACUAAAUAAUAUAAAAUGAGGGAGUAGUCUAUAUCUCAUAUGGCAAUUGAUUGGAUGGGACCAAGUGAAAUCAUGUAUUCGUUCUUCAAGCUUUCUGCUCAUCGGUGUCUCUAGUAGCACUCAGAAACAUAUCGCUAGUAUCUUUUAGGUAGGCCCUGUUUGGUGGAUUAAUGAAUGCCACUAGUAGUGGAUAGUUGAUAAUUUAGUCAUUCGUAGCUUAUAAGUUAAAUUAUGUUUUAAAUUUUAUUAAUAAUUACUAUUAAUAUAUAUUAAAUAAUUAUUGUAAAUAUAAUUUAUUUUUAGAUAUUUUAUUAUAUAUUUUUUUAAUUAUAUUCAUUAAUAAAAAUAGCUUAUAAUAAAUAAGAAUAUUAUAAUUCAUUUUAUUUAGUUUAAUUGUAUUUAUUAUUAAAAUAUUUAGUAAAAAUAUUUUAAAAUAGUAAUUAAGAUUUAAAUUUUAUUAAUAAACUACAAAUAUUAUAAUUAUUUUAAACAUUAAGUAUAAUUUUAAAUAAUAAUUAUUUAAUAUAAAUUAUAAAAUUAAUUAUAUAAAAUUAAUAUAAAAUAAAUAUUAUUAAUAAAAAAAUAAUAUUGUUCUCAAAUUAAUUAUUGACUUAUUAAAAAAGCUUUUGAUUAAUUGAGACUGAAUCAACUAACUUUUAAAUUCUACUAAAUAAAUGUAAUAUAGUUGUUGAAUUAUACUAAAUUUUUAAAUUAAACACCUGCUUAACAAGUCAUGUAUUAGCAAAAAGCUUUUCUUGAAAAUAAAAAAUAAAAUAGCAUUUUGUUAAGGAAAUCUGAAUUAGCUAAUGUAUUUGAAAUUAUUAUUAGAUCUAAAAGAAUUAGAUUUAAAUUUAUUUUUUAUUUAAUAAUAUUAUUUUUUAAUUUCAUUAAUUGCUUUCGUUAAAUUUUUUUUUCUUGAAAAGCAUUAAAAUAAGAGAUAUUCACUCAACAUGAAUAACUAUUGUUUAUUUAAAAAUUAAAGAAAUUGAAUAAAUGUAGAGAAUUCAACAAAUAAACCCUAACUCUAGUUUAGAAAAUUUAGUUUAUUGGUAAAGAAAAUUAAACAAACUAAAAUUACAGAAUAAACAUGGCAAAAAAUAUAGAAACGAAUAAAAGAAAGAAAAAGAGGUUAGGGAACAAAAAUUCUAAAGCUGAUUUCUUCUCGCGGUAAACUUCUUUGCUUCUUCCUAUUUUCCUUUCUCCUCUUUAUGAUUUUAUAUGCAAAAAUUAUCAGUUUUAGUAUUUUUGUAUACUAAUAAGUGGGUAGGGAAAUUUUUAUCCUUUUGCUGUGAAAACAGUAAGGGUGAAAUGACAAUUUUCUCUUUAUUUUUCAAUAAAUAAUAUCAUUGUUCGGCAAGAUUUUAAUGAUAAGGUCCACAUAAUUUAGUGCAUGGUCCGAUCCUGCAUUAUCUCAUCUGUUCUAAUUAAUUGGGCCGACCCCUUACCUCUUAUCCUUUUAUAGUCACAGCCACAGCAAUAAUAACCAGGACUUGAUUCUUUUUCUCUCAAUAUUAUUUUAUUUUAUGUAUUUUAUUAAAUCAUAUCUAAUAUUGAUAAAUAUAUUAUCUUUUGAGAUGGUGCGGUCCAUAAUAAUUAUGAUAUGUAAAUUUGAUAAAUAUAUUAUCUUUUGAGGUGGUACAAUCUAGAAUAAUAUGAUAUAUGAAUUAAUUAAAAAUAUUUUAUUUGAAAUGCUAUAUCAAUAAAAAUGGAUCGAAAAAGUUAAAAAUAUCAUAACUAAAAUAUAAAUAUAAAUAUUUCUAUACAAAAAAAUUAAAAUAUCAAUAUUAAUUAACUAAAAUCUAAAAUUUAGUCCUUAACAAAUAACGCAUAAAUUUAUCGAGCAUAUUAGCCAUAUUAUGAAGGAGUUAAUAAAUGUCCUAAAAAUAUUUCUAGUGGUGCUUUUUAUUUUAAAAAUAGAAUUUCUAUAAUAAAGAUCAUUUUAAGAAAUAUUCACUAAUAAAAAGUAAAAUAUUUUAUUUAAGUUCGGUAGAUUUUUUAUAUUCUGUUUUAUAUUAUGCUUUUUAUUCCAUAAGCAUUAAUAAUUUUAAUUUCUCUUUCUUUCUUUUUAAAAAUUUUUACCAAUAGAAAAAUAAGAAUUUUAAAUCAAUUAAAUUAUAUGCAUUGAAAUUUGUAAUACAUUUAUUAAAUAUAGAAUAAAGAGACUCUAUAUGUAGAGAGCCAAAUUAUGAAGAAAAUUAAAUGAGCUUCAUUUCAUUCAUUUAUCAUCAAAAUACAUAAGUAAUAGUAGUUAUAAAAACUAAUGGGUUUCUAAAAUACACCCCACCACCUAUCCAAAGUACAUCUUCAAAUUAAGCAAAUAAAAGUACAUCUUCUAAAUUAGAAUCCCAACCACAGCAUAAAAACUAAGCUUAUAUAGGUGCCUACUGCGCUUCAUACUCCCUUUUUCUUCUUUCAUUUUCUUCAGCUUUGAAUUUAGCAAACUAACUCCAUUUUUAUGCACAUUCAGCAGCUCACUUGUAAUGUCAGAUUCACCAGUGUCCAUUCUUAACUUAACUCUCGCAACGUCACCAAUGUCCUCUUAUUAACCCAUAUGUAGUGUUAGUUAAAAAAAAUGACAGCUGAAGAACCUGUACAAGAACAAACCUUCAUUACAACAAAAAAUAUAUCAAUGUAAACUAAGGAAAACACUCUUAUACUUACUAUAAAUUAGUAUCUCCAAAACUUACGACUGAGUUUCCUUUCAGUUCGAGAGACGAACAUUUUUGCAGGCAUUCCACAUGCACAGAUAGAAUUCUCAACUCCAAAAAUAUAUUUCUCCGAGUUAAGCACACUUUUAGCUGUUUUCUUGCUAUAAAAUUUUAAUUUGUUUCAUUUUGGUGCCCCUCGUAUUAUUUCUGUUACUUCCGCCAGUACCAAUGAGGAUUCCGACAGUUAUUUAAUGAUGUAGCUGCCAGAUUUACAAAAGACUACAGAUCUGUUGCAACAUGUGUUGCUGACUCCUUUAUUUUAUCCUAGUCAGCAAAUAAAUAACCCUAAAAUAUUGGAGAAUUAUGGCAUUAUACCUUGAGCUAACCAUUUUGUCUCCAUUAUACCCAAGAGUAACUGCUUUACCUUAGAAAUCAACGAAAAAUGUUAUACUUCCAUCUUCAUUGUCAACACUCUUUGAGCUUCCACUUCAUAGUUUCCUUACACAACUGUAGCUGCACAUUGCGAGAUUGGGGAGCAAUGUCACUUGACUGGCGAGUAAGAGCGAAACGCGAAGACACACUAGAUUACUAUAAGUACAUGCACCUGUAUUUAUCAUAUGGUUAUUGAAAGAACUGAAGUUCUUUUCAUGUUAAAUUCGCAUCUUUGUAUGCGUAUUGCAUGCUGUAUUAUUUUGGAAGUUAAUAAUACAAGGGGCUAGGGUUUUCUCAUUACUUGCUAUUGGGAAGAAAUCCUUUUUAUCGAUUGAAUGUUGAUGAUGUUUAUUAAUACUGCUUCUGUUAAAGUAAUUAAUGUAUGUUUAAUUAAUUUAAUGUAAUUGUAUUUUACAGUGCCUAAUUCCGAGUACUUUAGUUUGUAUUGGCAUGAUUAUGGAGUUGAUGGUAGAGGUCAACCUAAGCUAUGGAAUGUGGGAGCUGUUGAUUCUUGUAGUUGAGAUAAUAUGUCUAGGUUAGAAAUAGAUUCAUUGGCUAGAAAGCUAGGAAUGACACCUAAAAAAAAAAUUAUUAUGUGGAAGCAUCCGAAGAAGAGUAUGAAUGUUGGAUUGAGAAGUCUUGAAACUGAUAGUGAUGCUUCAGAAAUGGCAAUGUCUGUGGAGGAUUGUAAAAUGAAGCAUAUUUUUAGUAGGGAUAAGUUUGAAGGAAUAGAAGAAGUUGAGAAAGAAGUUGGAAAACCAUAUACUAGUGAAGAGGUUGUAAGAAAUAUGUCUGAGAUGGAAGGAGAGGAACCACAAAAUGAACAAAAUAUUGAUGAUGACAGCUGUGAGAGUAAUGAGCAUAGUGAUGCAGAUUGAGAGGACAAUGAGUUUGUGAACUCCGAUUAUGACCUCAGGGAUGAAAAUGUUAAUGAUGAUGCCAUGUUUGAUAAGUUUGUUGAUAAGGAGCUUGAGAGGGACAAACCAUCUGGAUCUGGUAGUGCUAGGCAACCUGCUGAGAAGUUGUGUGAAGAUUCAGAUGCGACAUUAUAUGCUCCAUCAGAUGAGCUGCUGUGAUGCUUUUCAACUGAAGACAAUGAUGCAGAUUCAAGAAAGCACAGAUGGCUUGAGUUUAAUGAGGAGACUGAUAUGACGAACCCCAGCUUCAAGAUUGGAAUGCUAUUCAAUUACUUCAAACAGUUCAAGAAUGCAGUUAAGAGCUCAUCAAUCAAAACUAGGAACCAGGUAAUAUUUGGACUAAAUACAUGGCAGAAAUGCAAGCUAAGUGCAAGAAAAGAUGCCAGUUCUUCAUUUCGGCUUACUUGAUGAAUACAAACAAACAAACAGUGCAGAUCAAGUCAGCUUGUUUGACUCACGACUAUUCAAGAGAGGUAUAUAAUAAGCAUGUUAAUGCCAAAUGGGUAGUUGACUAUUAUGUUGAAAGGUUCAGAGCUGAUCCCACUUGGGCAAUUCAAGGGAUUAUACAAGUUGUGAAAGAAGACUGUGGUAUUGAUGUGUUCAAAGUUAAAGCAUUGAGAGCAAGAAUUGCUGCUUUAAAAUUUAUCAAUGGUGAUGAGACAUAACAACUAUCUAGACUUCAUGAUUACAAGCUAGAACUGUUGAGAAAUAAUCCAGGAAGCACUAUGAUUUUUGGAGUUACUGACUAAAGAUUUGGAGAUAUCAAAUAGUUAUUAUUGGGUGUUCAUGACUGACAAGCAAAAGGUAAAUAGUCUUCACAUUUUCCUUUUCUAGUCCUUAUAUAUAUAUGGUAUUAAUUAUGUGUUGUGAUUUGGAAUAAGGUCUUAUUCCUGCCAUUGAAGAACUAUUCCCUAAUUCUAAACAUAGAUUUUGUGUUAGACAUGUGCAUAAUAAUUUUAAAAAGAAAUUUAAUAGUCUAGGACUAAAAGAACUUAUGUGGGAUGUUGCUAGGGCAAGUUAUGUCUAGUUAUUUGAAAAGAUAAUGGACAAGUUUGCAUCAAAAUCAAAACAAGGACACUACAUGAAUAGCAUACCCUGUCAUCAUUGGUCUAAAUCUCAUUUUAGGAUUGAUGCUAAGUGUGACAUGUUGUUAAACAACUUAUGUGAGUGUUUUAACAAUUUUAUCUUAGAUACUAGAACUAAGGAUGUGAUAGCUAUGAAUGAGGUUAUAAGAACAAAAUUAAUGAAGAGGAUACAUAAGAAAAGGGAUGAUAUGAAAAGAGUGGCCUCUGCUUACUGCUUUAAGAUCUUGAAAAAAAAUAGAAAAGGUAAGAGAAUUUUGCUGGAUGUUUAGAACAUAGUAGUUUAGGGGUGAGAGGUUUCAAGUGGUUGGGCCAGGGGGACAAUUUGUAGUUGACAAACAGGAAAUGAGAUGCACAUGUAGGAGGUGGUAUCUAACUGGUAUACAUUGUUGUCAUGCUGUAUGUGCAAUUUGAUAUAAUAAUGAAAAUCCUGAAUUUUAUACACAUGACUAUUACAAGGUCGAAACAUACCUAAAAUGCUAUAGCCAUUUUCUUGACCCAACUACCAGUAAAGAAUUUUGACCCAAGGCAACUGUCCCAUCAGUUCUACCCUCCAAACCAAUCAAAAAUAGAAAAGGCAGGCCUGCUACAAAGAGAAGGUUAGAGGAAGAAGAGAUGGAAGCUCUAACAAAAAAUGGAAAGAUCACCAAGAAGGGCUCUGUGAUGACAUGCAUAAUUUGUGGUGUUAAAGGCCAAAACAAGAGGUUUCAUGGUGAUGGUGCUUCUACAAGGCAAUAACAGAGGAGGGAAAAACUGUAUAUAAGUAUUCAAUUCUUCUUAUUUACUUCUGCCUGCAAUAAAUGUCAUAUAAACUAAUGUGAAAAUUUUAUACUAUGUGAUGAGGAAGACAAAAAAAAUAGCAAAAGAAAAAGGAAUUCAAUGGUGAAAGUAGUGCACAGAAUGUAAGCUACUAAUAUACUGCAUGUAAAUAUUUUUGUUCUGGUUUACCAACCUUAUGAGUUGUACUUACAGGUGCAAAGUGCUGCUGCCACUUGUUUUGAUACACAUGAAGAUCAUCAUGAAGCUUCAAAUGUGUUUGAAACACAUGAAGAUGAUCACCCAGCUUCAAAUGUGUUUGAUAUUGACAAACUUGAACAUGAAGAUGACCAUGGAGUUCCUACAGGCACCGCUUCAAAAUUUGAUAAUCUGUCACCAUUAAUACCAUUAUCUCAGGUAAGUAAUCAUUCACCUAUAAUAUUUAGUUCAGUAAUGUAAAAUAGCGUUAUGCUAACUUGAGAUUUUAUUAUACAGUUAUUUAAUAUAACACCAUCAGCAAUACAAGCAAGAACAGCUGUAGUUAAGCUUGGCAUACCAUCUUAUUUAGUUGAUUUUCAGGAUUAUGCUUCACAACGGAAAUCACAUUUACAGUCUAUCACAUCACCUUUAAUAACUACCACCAAAAAGACUAAGAGCAUUACUGAUAUGUUGAGUGAGCUACCACCAGAUAUGGGCAUUGAAAGACUUUCACAGACAAAGAAAAGAUGAAGUGCAAAAAAGCCAGCAAUUGAAUGUAAGGAAAAAAAAAUACUUUUAAACCCCCAAAAUUGUUGAGAAAAGAGGUUGAGACUGAAGGAAGUGCUGCAAUAAGUAAGAAAGGAGUUGGCACAACAACAAAGCUUCAAUACAAAGGAAAAAAAAAAGAUUGAUGGAAGUGUUUCAACAAAGAAGAGAGCUUAGGUGCCUCCAGAAAAUACAGAGAACAAAGGAAUUAGGAAUGAAAAGAAGACUUAGAUGAAGAAGACCUAACAAACAAUUAUUUUUUUAUUUUUGAAACCCUAAUUAAUAAUGUUUGUUAUGGUUGUUGUCUUGUUAAUAUAUGUGUGGACCUAACAUGUGGUCCUUUGACAGAUUUUUUUGUAAUAGCUUUUGACAGCCUUGGGUGUAGGGUUCGUGUCUACAGGAAUUCCAUAUCCAUUCACUUUUUGUUCAAAUAAUUUAUUAUUUAAAGUAAUCAACAGCCUCAGUUAUUUAAAUGACAAUAUGUUAUUACUUAUUUUUUAAAUUGUCACUCAACUUGUAUGUUUCCUAGCUUGCUUUAUAUAACAAUUUGCUGUGCUUAUUUAUCAUAACACAGGAAAAACCAAAUGAAAGGAAUCUAUGAAGAAAAUUAAAUGAGCUUCAUUUCAUUCAUUUAUCAUCAAAAUACAUAAGUAAUAGUAGUUAUAAAAACUAAUGGGUUUCUAAAAUACACCCCACCACCUAUCCAAAGUACAUCUUCAAAUUAAGUAAAUAAAAGUACAUCUUCUAAAUUAGAAUCCCAACCACAGCAUAAAAACUAAGCUUAUAUAGGUGCCUACUGCGCUUCAUACUCCCUUUUUCUUCUUUCAUUUUCUUCAGCUUUGAAUUUAGCAAACUAACUCCAUUUUUAUGCACAUUCAGCAGCUCACUUGUAAUGUCAGAUUCACCAGUGUCCAUUCUUAACUUAACUCUCGCAACGUCACCAAUGUCCUCUCAUUCACCAGUGUUAGUUAAGAAAAUGACAGCUGAAGAACCUGUACAAGAACAAACCUUCAUUACAACAAAAAAUAUAUCAAUGUAAACUAAGGAAAACACUCUUAUACUUACUAUAAAUUAGUAUCUCCAAAACUUACGACUGAGUUUCCUUUCAGUUCGAGAGAUGAACAUUUUUGCAGGCAUUCCACAUGCACAGAUAGAAUUCUCAACUCCAAAAAUAUAUUUCUCCGAGUUAAGCACACUUUUAGCUGUUUUCUUGCUCCAUUUUUUGUGAAAAGAUAAAGAACACUGAAUCUUCAUAAUUGAUUAUGAGAGAAAGGAAAACAUGGAGUAAUUGGGAAUACUAAGAAUUAGGAUUUGAAAUUAAAUAUUUUUCUGAUUUAGGGUUAUUUAUUUGGGGAUGGGAGGUUAUUUAUUUACUGACUAGGAUAAAAUAAAAGAGUCAGCAACAUAUGUGGCAACACAUCCCGGCAGCCACAUCAUUAAAUAAUUGCUGUAAUCCUCAUUGAUACUGGCGGAAGUAACAAAAAUAAUAUGAGGGGUACCAAAAUGAAACAAAUUGAAGAUUUGGUAUUAAAUAUAUAUAAGUGGCUAAAGUUUGAUACCGGCAGAGCAUUUUAACCUAGAUGUUCUAAAUAUCUUCCUAAACAAGAAAACCCUAUACAUAAUAUCUAAAUUACUUGAUAUAAGGACUUAAAAGUAAUAAAUUUAUAAAUUUAAGAAUUGAAUUAUAAUUACUGAACUUUAAGGAAGAAAAAUGAGGGAAGCAUUUAGAUGGCAGAUGACUUCUUCUUCUUCUUCUCCUUUCUGUCAUUAUUGGUAGCCGCUAAAUGAGGAAAAGAGAGAGGCCGAGAGCUUGGCUGGAGGAAGAACUGGUGCCGGCGAAUCUUCUAGUGGGCGAUGACUACUACUAGCAGUUGACUCCUAUCUUUAUAGGAAACUUUUUUUAUGGUGGCAUUGUGGUCUAUAUUGCUAAACAUAACAAGUGGCAAUGGAGGGAGAGAAUCAGAGGCUGAUUGUUUUUUCUCGAUUUCCAUCUCAAUUGGGAAAUGGAUGAUCCGACCACAUCAACACACACCACUCUUCACAAGCUUUCUAGCAAACUCAGCCCUACGAAGAUCAGACUCCACUAAAAGUCUGACAUCCGGAAAUGAUUAAUGACUCAACUAUCAACGGGUGACUCCAACUAAAAAUCAGGCAUCAUAACUAGAUGAAGAAACUAUAUACUUAUUUAAUGAUCAUAUGGUCACAUCGUUGGUAUUAAAUAGGAUUUACGUCUUUGGCUACUACAUAGUUUUUGAAACAUAGAGUUGUGCUAAUCCUCAUUGUACCAACUGAGCAAGAAAGAAAGUAAUUAGAUUUACAAAAAGCAACAGAAAAGAAAAUGUCUCCUUACCUUUUGUUGAAGUAGAACGAAAGUGUAUAUUUCAAAAAAAUAAAUAGAAAGAAAGUAUACUUUAUCUUCUCGUAUGUCUUGUCAUCAUUAUUGGGUUCCGAAAAUUCAAUUUCAAAAGGAGAAAUCUUGUACUACGAAUUUAGUUUUGUUACACUAAAAUAAUUAGCCCAUAUUUAACGAAACUAAACAUCAUGUGCUGCCUUCAAUGGAAUAAUAGUCAAUAUCCCAUUGUGGGUAUAAUAGGAUCAUCAGGCUGCAGGAAAUUCGUUGUAUGGAUUGCCCAGUGCAGCAACAUUGCCAGGCCUCGACAGAACAACCUACACGUUAUACAAUGAAAUAAAUUAAGAGAGCGCAGUAACAGAGCUUUAAAACUGAAACUGUGGCUCAAGGCUUGAAGUACCUGAUAGUUUCCAAGUGUGAGUGUCUUGAACCCAGCUGCACAAUAAUCAAAAUAAUACUCCCAUGUUCUGAUGAACUUUUCAUUGAAUCCCAGAGCCGUAAUUUUGCUGCCAAGAAAUUAACGCACAGGCAUUGAUUUAAAAGGAAAAGAGAAAAAUAAACUAAGGCUGUUAAAGUCUCAAAAAAGUAUUUACCUCUUGCUCUCCAAGAAAUUCUUUCUCCACAGUCUGAGUGUUUGAUAGUAAUGCAUUCCAAUAUUCUCUACAUGCUCCACACUUUCGAUCCAAGAAAGAAUAGUAAAUUUAAUUUAUAGAUUAAGAAAAAUGGAAUAAUUCAUCAAUAAAUCAAAUUGAGCUGAAACUGAAAUUUGUCAUACCAGAGUCUUGUUGAAGCAGCCAUGGCUAUUGUUAUUCUUGUUAAUGAUGGCACACAUGUACCUGGGAAUAUAUACUCCUUGAUAACGUCUGAACUUCGCCUGUACUCCUCGUACCGUUCUUCUGGUAUUGAUGUGAACUGAUGGCACUCUUAAACAUUAAACUGACAUAGAGAAAGGAAUUCUUUUGUUUCUUCUCAUUUUCUAAUUAGUUGUUACCUGUAGAACAAUAAGACCAUCAUCUGCUAAUACUGAUUCACAGCAGCCAAAAUACUCCUCCAUGUAUUCAUGUCCAACAGCUUCUAGCAUUUCACUGAACAAGACCAGUAAAAGUCAUGUAAUUUGUUCAGCAUUCUCUACUCGGAUGCCAAUUUUGGAAAGGGACAAGCUUACCAUGAUAUGAUUCUGUCACAUUUGUAGGUAUCAGGCAAUUGGCGAUAGUCACAAAGUUGAAAUCUGAUAUUUUCCUGAUAUCAUCAUUGGCUAAGGUUAAAACCCAUGACUUUUGGCGAUUUUUCUAAUACCAUGAUAUGCUCUAAUGCAAGAUGUUCUUAAGUGCAAUUUGGACAGACCUUGUUACGCUUAAAUCUCAAAGGAGCUAAGGAAUAAAUGCAUUUAGGAAAGUUGCAAUUAUUCUUUGAGUUCAUACCUGGAGACCAGCUUGCUUCACUCUUUCUUCUGCAAAUUUUAGUUGCUCCUCCGAUAGAGUGAUACCAGUAUAUUUACAUCCAGUUCGUUUGACAACCUCGAUAGCUAAUGUUCCCCAACCACAACCAAUCUCAAGAACUUCAUGUUCCUUAUUGAUUCUUGCCUGGAUUGAUUAAAAAAAAAUGAACAUACGAAUUGAAUAGUGCAUGUCAGUAAUUGUAACUUUUCCAAAAUGGUCAAGCAACAGGAUCACUCACUUUUUCAAUCAGAAGUGAAAUUUUUCUCAUCUGUGCAGAUUUCAAGUCUUCAUCUUCCGUCUUUAAAGUAGCUCGGAAAAAAAAAAGAAGAAUAUAUCACAAGUUGAAAUCAUGCACUGUGUAAAAUUAUCAGAAUUCACAAGGUUGACUUCUGACCUUAAAUACUGCACAGGAAUAUGUCAUUGUUUCAUCCAAGAACAUAGAAAACAUCUCAUUACUCUACAGAUACAAAACAAGACAAGGAACAUAAGCUUUUCAUCAGAAUUUCUGAAACUAAAAUGGAGUACCGCUUUCAUGAAGACAUGCACAUAUGCACUUGCUUUAUAAAAUUGUUG
Molecule: long non-coding RNA, 35373 nt
Filed under: Ricinus communis (castor bean)
Lineage: Eukaryota; Viridiplantae; Streptophyta; Magnoliopsida; Malpighiales; Euphorbiaceae
Description: long non-coding RNA (RCOM_LNC002318)
Source: RNAcentral